AAGCCAUGAUGUGGGCAUUGAGACCAAUAGCCCUUGAACCUCUCCCAAGCUUCACUAAAGCCCUCUAGAUUCUUCUGCUGAAAGCUAGAGAUCUCAUUCCUGAUCUU
This is a non-coding RNA of Brassica napus (rape), 107 nucleotides long. Lineage: Eukaryota; Viridiplantae; Streptophyta; Magnoliopsida; Brassicales; Brassicaceae. The record is from Rfam.